GGCUAACGUCGGGAACCGCUCUCACCAAUCUGCUCUCCCGGCUUCUGGGGACGGCACCUUCACUGCUGGAACAGCAAUUUAAAACGUGAUUAUAUUUGUUUCCACCAUCUGCAAACUCUGAUUGAUAGGAAAGAACAAAUGAUUAGGUUCCAUUGUUUGCGUUUCUAAGGGCAGGGUUUGAACCCGCCACCUCCGGCAUAUGGGACCGGCGCCCUACUCCUUGAGCCACAGGCACCGCCCUGCAUUUCCAUUCUUAGGAUACUUUGCUAAGAAGAUUAUGCUUCAGCUCCA
Molecule: long non-coding RNA, 291 nt
Organism: Nycticebus coucang (slow loris)
Lineage: Eukaryota; Metazoa; Chordata; Mammalia; Primates; Lorisidae
Exons: 3
Source: RefSeq, a predicted model, not a curated record